Long non-coding RNA from Nycticebus coucang (slow loris), 712 nucleotides. RefSeq lists it as uncharacterized. The transcript has 5 exons. The record is from RefSeq and is a predicted model, not a curated record. Lineage: Eukaryota; Metazoa; Chordata; Mammalia; Primates; Lorisidae.
CUCCCCAGUACAAUGUUCAGGAGGAGCCAUUUUAAAGAACAAAAUUGUCAACAAAAACCCUGAAGAAAAUCCCAAAAUGUAGCACUAACCAGAUCAUGAAAGGAACAUUUGUUUACAAUAGAAGAUCUGAAGCAAGAAGGCAGAGUGUUAUUACCCUGUUCAACCUCAGCUGGAAGCAUGCAUGUGGAGUAACUUUGAACAUGUCCGAAACACGGAAAGAGGAAAGAACAUAUCUAAAACUUUUAAAAAUGAGUGAAGAAGAGAGAGGUGAAUGAAUGUGAGAACCUGAAAAAGAGGAAAAUGAAGCAUGAACCAGAAGCUCCGUCUGGUUUGUUAUGGAAACUUAAGGGAAGAGAUAUUUCUCAUGGAAUGCUCUGAGCUCAGGAACCCCUAACCCCAGAUGGAAACCUCAAAGAUCUACACGCACACCUAAUGUGGAUGAGAGAUAAUGAACUGAAAUAUUGGAGCCUAUUGCCAUUUUCUCAAGCAAGAAAUAAGAGAAUUGUAUAAAUUGGAAAGCAUGGCCAUUUAAAAAAAAGAUAUAAUGAUGAAAUAUUUAACCACUCCGAGAGGACAAGUUUGCCUUACUCUUCCCUCUGCCCUUUUCCUGGCUCAAUGUCUGGUGGUAAAAGACUAUCAAACUGAUAGUCACUAUCAAAUAGAUCAGUGUUGGAUGAAUGUAAAAGUGAAUAAAAGCAUUUCAUAAAAUCUC